RNAcentral lists this ribosomal RNA (259 nucleotides) under uncultured bacterium. RNAcentral describes it as "partial 16S ribosomal RNA". It matches the Rfam family "Bacterial small subunit ribosomal RNA", at positions 793 to 1055 of the family's 1533-position model. The record is from RNAcentral.
GUCCCAGCUGUAAACGGUGUGCGCUUGGUGUGGGAGAUUUGACCCUCCCCGUGCCGGAGCUAACGCGUUAAGCGCACCGCCUGGGGAGUACGGUCGCAAGACUAAACUCAAAGAAUUGACGGGGCCCGCACAAGCGGAGGAGCAUGUGGCUCAAUUCGAUGCAACGCGAAGAACCUUACCAGGACUUGACAUGCAGCUGCACGUCCGUCGAAAGGCGGAUUCCUUCGAGGGUGCUGCACAGGUGCUGCAUGGCUGUCGU